RNAcentral lists this ribosomal RNA (835 nucleotides) under uncultured marine bacterium. Its description in RNAcentral is "bacterial SSU rRNA". It matches the Rfam family "Bacterial small subunit ribosomal RNA", at positions 57 to 941 of the family's 1533-position model. The record is from RNAcentral.
GCAAGUCGAGCGAGGUACUUGUACCUAGCGGCAGACGGGUGCGUAACAUGUGGGAAUCUACCUUUUGGUUCGGAACAACAUGGGGAAACCCGUGCUAAUACCGGAUAAGUCCUUACGGAGAAAGAUUUAUCGCCGAAAGAUGAGCCCGCACUAGAUUAGCUUGUUGGUAAGGUAAAAGCUUACCAAGGCAACGAUCUAUAGCUGAUUUGAGAGGAUGAUCAGCCACACUGGGACUGAGACACGGCCCAGACUCCUACGGGAGGCAGCAGUGGGGAAUCUUGCACAAUGGAGGAAGCUCUGAUGCAGCGAUGCCGCGUGAGUGAAGAAGGCCUUUGGGUUGUAAAGCUCUUUUGUCGGGAAAGAUAAUGACUGUACCCGAAGAAUAAGGUCCGGCUAACUUCGUGCCAGCAGCCGCGGUAAUACGAAGGGACCUAGCGUAAUUCGGAAUUACUGGGCGUAAAGCGCGCGUAGGCGGUUAAGUAAGUUAAUUGUGAAAGCCCAAAGCUCAACUUUGGAAUUGCAAUUAAAACUACUUAGCUAGAGUUUAUCAGAGGAAAGCGGAAUACAUAGUGUAGAGGUGAAAUUCGUAGAUAUUAUGUAGAACACCAGUUGCGAAGGCGGCUUUCUGGGAUAAUACUGACGCUGAGGUGCGAAAGUAUGGGUAGCGAAGAGGAUUAGAUACCCUCGUAGUCCAUACCGUAAACGAUGAUUGUUAGAUGUUGGAAAUUUAUUUUCAGUAUCACAGCUAACGCGUUAAACAAUCCGCCUGGGGAGUACGACCGCAAGGUUAAAACUCAAAUGAAUUGACGGGGACCCGCACAAGCGGUGGAGCAUG